This 473-nucleotide ribosomal RNA is filed under the name uncultured delta proteobacterium. RNAcentral's name for it is "bacterial SSU rRNA". It matches the Rfam family "Bacterial small subunit ribosomal RNA", at positions 400 to 863 of the family's 1533-position model. Lineage: Bacteria; Deltaproteobacteria. The record is from RNAcentral.
CGUGAGUGAUGAAGGCUUUCGGGUCGUAAAGCUCUGUCAAGUGGGAAGAAUUCAUAUGGUGUUAAUAUCGCCAUGUGCUGACGGUACCACUGAAGGAAGCACCGGCUAACUCCGUGCCAGCAGCCGCGGUAAUACGGGGGGUGCGAGCGUUAUUCGGAAUUACUGGGCGUAAAGAGCGCGUAGGCGGUCUUUUAAGUCAGGUGUGAAAGCCCGGGGCUCAACCCCGGAAGUGCACUUGAAACUAAGAGACUUGAGUAUGGGAGAGGGAAGUGGAAUUCCUGGUGUAGCGGUGAAAUGCGUAGAUAUCAGGAGGAACAUCAGUGGCGAAGGCGACUUCCUGGACCAAUACUGACGCUGAGGCGCGAAGGCGUGGGGAGCAAACAGGAUUAGAUACCCUGGUAGUCCACGCAGUAAACGGUGAACACUAGGUGUAGCGGGUAUUGACCCCUGCUGUGCCGCAGCAAACGCAUUAA